RNAcentral lists this ribosomal RNA (311 nucleotides) under uncultured eukaryote. Its description in RNAcentral is "partial 18S ribosomal RNA". It matches the Rfam family "Eukaryotic small subunit ribosomal RNA", at positions 1470 to 1796 of the family's 1831-position model. The record is from RNAcentral.
CCCCUAGACGUUCUGGGCUGCACGCGCGCUACAAUAAUACGCACAGCGAGUAUCACCGAGUUCGAAAGGGCAAGGUAAACAAUAGAAAAGGUACUGUAAUGGUUAUAGAUCCUUGUAAUUAUUGAUCUUCAACGAGGAAUUCCUAGUAAGUAUGUGUCAUCAUCACGCACUGAUUACGUCCCUGCCCUUUGUACACACCGCCCGUCGCUCCUACCGAUUGGGUGAGCCGAUGAAACUCUCGGAUGUAGGCUAUUCAUAGCCCGCAGAAGAGAUUUGAAUCGUAGCGCUUAGAGGAAGGAGAAGUCGUAACA